RNAcentral lists this ribosomal RNA (497 nucleotides) under uncultured bacterium. RNAcentral describes it as "partial 16S ribosomal RNA". It matches the Rfam family "Bacterial small subunit ribosomal RNA", at positions 28 to 507 of the family's 1533-position model. The record is from RNAcentral.
GAUGAACGCUGGCGGCGUGCCUAAUACAUGCAAGUCGAGCGAACGGACGAGAAGCUUGCUUCUCUGAUGUUAGCGGCGGACGGGUGAGUAACACGUGGAUAACCUACCUAUAAGACUGGGAUAACUUCGGGAAACCGGAGCUAAUACCGGAUGAUAUUUUGAACCGCAUGGUUCAAAAGUGAAAGACGGUCUUGCUGUCACUUAUAGAUGGAUCCGCGCUGCAUUAGCUAGUUGGUAAGGUAACGGCUUACCAAGGCAACGAUGCAUAGCCGACCUGAGAGGGUGAUCGGCCACACGGGAACUGAGACACGGUCCAGACUCCUACGGGAGGCAGCAGUAGGGAAUCUUCCGCAAUGGGCGAAAGCCUGACGGAGCAACGCCGCGUGAGUGAUGAAGGUCUUCGGAUCGUAAAACUCUGUUAUUAGGGAAGAACAUAUGUGUAAGUAACUGUGCACAUCUUGACGGUACCUAAUCAGAAAGCCACGGCUAACUACGUG